Non-coding RNA from Caenorhabditis elegans, 150 nucleotides. The record is from Ensembl. Lineage: Eukaryota; Metazoa; Nematoda; Chromadorea; Rhabditida; Rhabditidae.
UUUUUCGUUGAUUUUCCGUAUCCAUUCAAGAGCUUUUCUUUCACUUAUUUUGUGCCCAUCCGAAAAAGCACUCAAGAAUAUAGUGCCACUGAUACGGUCAUUUGUUAGCUCACGCUCAUGCAUUUCUCGCUCACUUGAUUGCCCCUCCCU